This 582-nucleotide unclassified non-coding RNA is filed under the name Hevea brasiliensis (rubber tree). Lineage: Eukaryota; Viridiplantae; Streptophyta; Magnoliopsida; Malpighiales; Euphorbiaceae. The record is from RNAcentral.
AAGGGUGCAAUUUUAAGGGACAAUGUAGAAGUGAAUAGCAUAAUUAAGGAUGGGGAGAAAGGCGGGAUAUGGGUUUCUGCUGCUAAUGGUGAAAAGUUUUGGGCUAAAAAAUGCAUCAUUACAGCAGGGGCUUGGGCGAGAAAGCUUGUUAAAAGCGUCAGCGGCCUUGAAUUGCCGAUACAAGCAUUGGAGACUACAUUGUGUUAUUGGAGAAUUAAGGAAGGCCAUGAAUCUGAGUUUGCUAUAGGAAGUGAUUUUCCAAGUUUUUCUAGCUGCGGCAAACAACAUGUAUACGGCACGCCGUCCUUGGAGUUCCCCGGUUUAAUUAAGGUUGCCUCGCACGAUGGCUACCCUUGUGAUCCUGACAAAAGACCAUGGGGACCUGCCAAGUCGUUGAGUUAUUUGAAAGAAUGGAUUGAGAAGAUAUUUUCAGGGCUUGUUGAUCAUGAAAGGCCAGUUGCUAGUCAAUCGUGCUUGUACUCCAUGACCCCAGAUGAAGACUAUGUGAUAGAUUUUCUGGGUGGGGAGUUUGGGAAGGAUGUGGUUAUCGGCGCUGGCUUUUCAGGUCAUGGGUUCAAGAUG